This is a long non-coding RNA of Octopus bimaculoides (California two-spot octopus), 477 nucleotides long. RefSeq lists it as uncharacterized. NCBI's taxonomy places the organism in Eukaryota, Metazoa, Mollusca, Cephalopoda, Octopoda, Octopodidae. The record is from RefSeq and is a predicted model, not a curated record.
AUAGAUGAUGGUAACCAGAACGAAGAGGACCCCCCUCGUGUUCCAAUUAUUGUCACCGACAUUUACAUGCAAGGCAGUUCCAGGAUGCAUCAGGUCGCACAGAUCAUCGUUUAUUCCGUAAAUGGUCAUGUGGCCAUGUCUGUAAACCUGGGGCUACAUUAGAUAUGCCAAACACUUUCACCGAUGUGAUAUUUGAAUAGAGAUGCUGCCAUAACUAUACAACACAAAGGACUUGUCCUACGUGCUAAUGAACCUGAAAAUUCAGCUGCAUAGAUGAACAGCUAAACAAAAGAACACUAUCAGAGUUAUCCGGCCCAGGCUGCCAAAUAUGCCAAAUUCUCCGGCCCAGCCUGUCCCUUCUUGUUAAAGUUAAAAGAAUUUUCACAAAUAAUAAAAAGGGGGAAUGCAACUCUCAUGGAGAGAUGACCGAAUGAUUGAAAAGUUCUGUACAUAUUUUUAAUAAAAGAUUAAACAUCA